This 315-nucleotide unclassified non-coding RNA is filed under the name uncultured Thelephoraceae. RNAcentral describes it as "sequence contains 5.8S rRNA gene". The record is from RNAcentral. Lineage: Eukaryota; Fungi; Basidiomycota; Agaricomycetes; Thelephorales; Thelephoraceae.
GAACGCACCUUGCACCCUUUGGCCAUUCCGAAGGGUAUGCCUGUUUGAGUAUCAUGAACACCUCAACUCUCAUGGCUUGCCAUGAUGAGCUUGGACUUUGGGGGUCUUGCUGGCCUGCAGUCAGCUCCUCUCAAAUGAAUUAGCUUCCCAGUGUUUGGUGGCAUCACAGGUGUGAUAACUAUCUACGCUUGUGGUUCCCACCAGGUAACCUUCAGUAGAAUGGGGGUUCGCUGGAGCUCAUAAACGUCUCUCCUCGGCGAGGACAGCUCUUUGAACAUUUGAUCUCAAAUCAGGUAGGACUACCCGCUGAACUUA